CCGGAGAAAUGCUGCACAUUGAUAUAUUCUCCACAGACAAGAAACUUUUUUUGACCUGCAUCGACAAGUUCUCAAAGUUUGCCAUCGUACAGCCCCUCUCUUCCAGGGCUAUAGUAGAGGUACGAGCCCCCAUUAUACAAUUGAUAAAUUUUUACCCGAAUACCAAGACCAUAUAUUCUGACAAUGAGCCUUCCUUCAACUCCGAAACAAUUACCUCUUUGCUUAAAAACCAAUAUGGCAUCGACAUCGUAAAUGCACCCCUCUACAUAGUAGCUCCAACGGGCAAGUAGAGAGAUUUCACAGCACGUUGGCAGAGAUAGCAAGGUGCAUAAAACUCGACCAAAAGAUAGAGGACACCGUCGAGCUAAUCAUGCGCGCCACUGUAGAAUACAACAGGACGCUACAUUCGGUCAUAGACCAGAAGCCUGUAGAAGCAAUCCAUGUAAGCAACAACGAUCUGAAGUUAGCAAUUAGAACCAGAAUUGAUAAGGCACAAAAGGCCAAUAUCGACAGGUUUAACAUCUCAAGGCAGAACAGAGUCUUUGAAGUGGGUGAAAAGGUUUACCCAAGGAAUAACAAAAGACUAGGGAACAAGCUAACCCCGCUGUACUCAGAAGAACGGGUACAAGCGGACCUUGGAACGGCAGUUCUAAUUAAGGGGAGGGUGGUCCAUAAGGACAAUCUGAAAUAAUUCAAACUUUUGUUUUACAGAUUUAAGGUAUCAUUCCCGCAGGUUUGACGGAAUACUCUUCCUACUCCCUUCUACUACAACUGCGCGGAUCACCGCCUUUUAUACCGUUAAAAUGUUGGAGUUGUUCCCACAUUCAGAUAUAGAACAUAAAAAAAUCCGUUGUCCGCUUUAAUGAUACAUGGCCAGAAGCCUAGACUUCCUGAUAACAGCAUUAAAGGUCGUAGCAAGUACCCCCGACGAGUUGGGCUUCGAAAAAAUAGCAGCUUGUAGAAUCAUAGACUGAUUAACUGAGUACUGAUUAACACAGAGGCACAGAAACAGGAUGCUAAUUUCGGUAGUCCAAAUCUCAUGAUUACGAUCACACUUGCCAAAGCGAAUAUCCCACUAAGACCUAAAAUCUAUUUUUACCGAACAGCUCACAGAGGUCCCAGUAGCUUAUUUGUUGGGAGUAUGUAAGAAUAUAAGAAUUUUUCAUUUCAUAUUUAAGUAGAAUGCUCCCAGGUUAAAAUUAUCUUUAUGUCGCGAAGUACACGCCGGCGGCUCUGCUUCAUGACGCACGCAACCCAGCCACCUGGCCACCACCAUCCUGUUGCAUCAAUGCUGUAGUAGUGGACGAUGGCAUAAUCAUCAUAAAUGGGCAGCGAGCAACGGUCAGCGUUGACAAUGGACCCCUAAGGACGACAAGAGAGGCCCACCUCAUCACGUUCGAAGACAGAACCGUGAUCAACAGCACCCUGUUCUUAAACCUCAACAAAGCAUUGAGGAAAGUUCCAGGAAUCGUAGCUUCGCCUUUGCUGUCAAUAACGGGGCACGGUGAAAUCCUAAGCCUACCACGACUACAAUCGAUGAACGAGCACAAUCUAAGGGCCAUCCAAGAACUUAGAAGCGACAUGACAUCCGGUGGGUCACCCAAGACCUGGUUCAUUGCGGACAGCCUCAAGCUCUGUGGCCUUAUCCUGUUGCAUCAAUGCUGGAUUCGAAGCAACUCCUCAAUCAAGUUGCAAAAGGUCAUCAGAGAGAUAGGUAUCGCCGAGGACGGAGAUGAUUUAAGGGGGGAGUAGUUAACACAUAAGCAAUAACAUGGGACACCCUAACUUAGCGCACAAGAAAU
Molecule: long non-coding RNA, 1802 nt
Filed under: Drosophila guanche
Lineage: Eukaryota; Metazoa; Arthropoda; Insecta; Diptera; Drosophilidae
Source: RNAcentral